Molecule: long non-coding RNA, 423 nt
Organism: Bufo bufo (common toad)
Lineage: Eukaryota; Metazoa; Chordata; Amphibia; Anura; Bufonidae
Exons: 3
Source: RefSeq, a predicted model, not a curated record
UAGAUAGCGGUCAUUUUAACUCACAGACACUGUUCUGACUUUUCAACACGGUGCCAUCUUGCCUGUAUUUGGUGCACAGAGACAUCAUUCAGUAGUUUGAAACUACCAAACAGGGGACACAUUUAUUAGUGACUAUUUUCUGUAUAACUUGUAUAUUUUCGGUGUAACUGGCAUAAAACAUUAUCUAGAAAACUACUGGACGGAUGUGGGUGAAUUUUGGAUAUGUGGUUCACCCAGAUCCCCCGGUUCCGAGGAUAUACUGGUUAUGGGGUUAUUGCAUGUUUUGGGGUUCCUGUGAUAUGUUUUAUAAAACUGUAUUUCUCUGCCUUUGAUAAUUAUAUUCGCCAUUGUGUUCAGUAAUCCUAUCACAGGCCGAGAGGAGGAUUUUGUGUGGGAGUGGUUCCAUUGUCCAAUUGUCCCAUU